CCUACGGGUGGCAGCAGUGAGGAAUAUUGGUCAAUGGGCGCGAGCCUGAACCAGCCAAGUAGCGUGAAGGAUGACUGCCCUACGGGUUGUAAACUUCUUUUAUAAAGGAAUAAAGUGAGGCAAGUGUGCCUUUAUGUAUGUACUUUACGAAUUAGGAUCGGCUAACUCCGGUCCAGCAGACGCGGUAAUACGGAGGAUCCGUGCGUUAUCCUGAUUUAUUUGGGUUAAAGGGAGCGUAGAUGGGUUGUUAAGUCAGUUGUGAAAGUUUGCGGCUCAACCGUAAAAUUGCAAUUGAUACUGGCAGUCUUGAGUACAGUUGAGGUAGGCGGAAUUCGUGGUGUAGCGGUGAAAUGCUUAGAUAUCAAGAAGAACUCCGAUUGCGAAGGCAGCUUACUAAACUUCCACUGACAUUGAGGCUCGAAAGUGUGGGUAUCAAACAGGAUUAGAUACCCCUGUAGUC
Molecule: ribosomal RNA, 460 nt
Filed under: uncultured bacterium
Lineage: Bacteria
Description: partial 16S ribosomal RNA
Rfam family: Bacterial small subunit ribosomal RNA
Source: RNAcentral